GUCUACAGCCAUACCAACCUGAUUGCACCUGAACUCUUCUGAUCUUGGAAGCUAAGCAGGGUUAAGCCUGGUUAGUACUUGGAUGGGAGGCCACCUGGGAAUACUGGUUUCUGUACCUU
Rhinopithecus bieti (black snub-nosed monkey) is the source of this 119-nucleotide ribosomal RNA. The record is from Ensembl. Lineage: Eukaryota; Metazoa; Chordata; Mammalia; Primates; Cercopithecidae.